RNAcentral lists this unclassified non-coding RNA (1018 nucleotides) under Daphnia magna. RNAcentral describes it as "uncharacterized LOC123474619, transcript variant X1". The record is from RNAcentral. Lineage: Eukaryota; Metazoa; Arthropoda; Branchiopoda; Diplostraca; Daphniidae.
UAUUCUCCUCUUGAGAAUUGACAUCCCAUGGUGGGAAAAAUAAUAAAGUUUUUCGUGUAACUGCAUCAGUUGGAAAGUGAAUGUGUCAUGAUACCUUUUUUUUUUGUUAGCGUGAGGCUAUAUAAUAUUGAUUUUACUGCUGGCUUUCUUUCUGUUGUACCAAUGGGUUGGAUGAGGUUUUUGUCUUCUAGUUAUUCCUUGUGGCUGCAAGAAAGAAGCAAAAUGGGUUUCAUGCUGUCCCUGAGAGGUAUGGGUUGUGCCUGUUCAUUGCCUAAGAUGCCAUAAAGAUGACUGGUUUUGGAUCUGUGAUUGUUAUUCUGCCACAAGCGUUUUCAUCAAGAAAGCCUGGCGUAAGAUAUGGCCUCCAGAUGCAUGUAAUUGGCUAAGGAAACCGGCCAGAAGGCAGCUGAUAAAGGACAUGAAAGGAAAGAAUCAGCAAAAGAUGAAGCCUUCAGAGGAAUUGAGUCAGAAUGCUAAGGAAACCGGCCAGAAUGCUAGUGCAAAAAGACAAGAGCCGCAAGAGUCAGCUAAGGACACAACACAGCAAGGAAAGGAGUUAAUACAGGAGACAGGAUCAAAGGUAGCAGAAAAAGGAUGAGGUGAAAAUCCAGUUCAUCAAAGUUGCUAUGCAUUUUUUUCUGGUUAAAGUUAAUCAGAACUAAAUAAAGAAUUCCCAUGUGGUUGGUUUCUUCCACGUGCGGAAAAGACACAUACGAGUUGAACGGAACCAUAUGAAGAAUUCGGGCACGAGAAAUUCUUGCCUCAUCGGUCCCGUGCUACUCACCUGCCACCUAGUGCCAACCGAAGAGAACUUUCCCGGUCCUACGGCGGGACUGAUACACGUUCCAUUCACGAUCCGUGAUUAACAAUAGACCAUACGAUUUUUCUAUUGUAGCGUUUUUCAUAUGUACAGUUAUAUUUUUAUUUUGUAUCAAACAAAGCUAAUGAAAGCGAUUUGUUUCCCUACAACAUUGUAAUUGCUGAACGCAUUUAUACACUAGAACAUUAGUGAGAUUUA